This 729-nucleotide ribosomal RNA is filed under the name uncultured bacterium. RNAcentral's name for it is "bacterial SSU rRNA". It matches the Rfam family "Bacterial small subunit ribosomal RNA", at positions 766 to 1498 of the family's 1533-position model. The record is from RNAcentral.
GAGCAAACAGGAUUAGAUACCCUGGUAGUCCACGCCCUAAACGAUGUACACUAGUUGUUGCCAUGCUAGUCAUGGCAGUAAUGCAGCUAACGCAUUAAGUGUACCGCCUGGGGAGUACGGUCGCAAGAUUAAAACUCAAAGGAAUAGACGGGGACCCGCACAAGCGGUGGAGCAUGUGGUUUAAUUCGAAGAUACGCGAAGAACCUUACCUGGGCUUGAUAUCCCUGGAAUCUCCUGGAAACAGGAGAGUGCUAGUUUACUAGAACCAGGUGACAGGUGCUGCACGGCUGUCGUCAGCUCGUGUCGUGAGAUGUUGGGUUAAGUCCCGCAACGAGCGCAACCCUCGUCCUUAGUUACUAACGGUUCGGCCGAGGACUCUAAGGAGACUGCCCUCGCAAGGGGGAGGAAGGUGAGGACGACGUCAAGUCAUCAUGGCCCUUAUGCCUAGGGCGACACACGUGCUACAAUGGGAAGGACAAAAAGAAGCAAUACCGCGAGGUGGAGCAAAUCUCCAAACCUUCUCUCAGUUCGGAUUGGAGUCUGCAACUCGACUCCAUGAAGCUGGAAUCGCUAGUAAUCGUGAAUCAGCCAUGUCACGGUGAAUACGUUCCCGGGUCUUGUACUCACCGCCCGUCACACCAUGGGAGUUGAUUUCACCCGAAGCCGGGAAGCCAAACUGGCUACCGUCCACGGUGGGAUCAGCGACUGGGGUGAAGUCGUAACAAGGUA